RNAcentral lists this ribosomal RNA (252 nucleotides) under uncultured bacterium. RNAcentral's name for it is "partial 16S ribosomal RNA". It matches the Rfam family "Bacterial small subunit ribosomal RNA", at positions 524 to 776 of the family's 1533-position model. The record is from RNAcentral.
UACAGAGGUCCCAAGCGUUGUUCGGAUUUACUGGGCGUAAAGGGUGCGUAGGUGGCGGGGUAAGUCUGGUGUGAAAGCUCCGAGCUCAACUCGGAAAAGCAUUGGAAACUAUCCCGCUGGAGGGUCGGAGGGGAGACUGGAAUUCUCGGUGUAGCAGUGAAAUGCGUAGAUAUCGAGAGGAACACCAGUGGCGAAGGCGAGUCUCUGGACAGUUCCUGACGCUGAGGCGCGAAGGCCAGGGGAGCAAACGGG